This 3604-nucleotide long non-coding RNA is filed under the name Homo sapiens (human). RNAcentral describes it as "long independently transcribed non-coding RNA 2939 (LINC02939)". The record is from RNAcentral. Lineage: Eukaryota; Metazoa; Chordata; Mammalia; Primates; Hominidae.
GCCAUGAUUGCGGGCAGCGGGACGCGCGCGCACGCUCGGGCCCGGCUCUGGGACCCCUGGCUGACCGACGGUCCCUGCAGUCCCCGCAACCUGGUGCCCGCAGCCCCGAGCGCGCCGCGGACAGCGGUCAGGCUCUCCAGGCUCGUCCCCGCGGGGAACAGUGUGCGCUGCGGAGCUCUCGACGCGGCCCCGGGACAGCGCUCGGGGCCGACGGUGGCAGCGGGCUUCCCCCAGGGCGGAGCGCGCGCACGGGCAACCCCGCGGCGGCUUCCAGGACACCGCCGGCCCCGCGGAGCAAGGGGUGCCCAGAGGGGUGGGAGUCCGGACUCGGCACACGGGAGCCGGCCGGCGGAGGCAGGGGUCAGCGCACAGUGCCGGGAGAUAUCCGCCUAAUGGGAAUGGAGCCGGCAAUUUCCUGCUGCCUUGCUUUCUCCGCCAGCCCCUGGCCCACAGUCCAGCCUCAGAAGGCUGAGGGGGGUGCUUCGGUUUCGUUUCUUUUUUCUCAACGGGUCGACAUUUUAAAUUUCUCAGUAUCCAAGGCAUUAUGAGGACUUAGGAAACAGAUGCAUUUAAUCUAAUUAAAGCAAGGACGGCGAGUGAGUGAAAAAUUACAUUUUCACUUGGGUUCUGAACAUUCAGUUGCACAUCCAAGAAUAAUGAUGUUUUUAAAGCCAGCCCAAUAAACUUGAGAUUGCAAGUUUUCAGUGGCUCCUGGAUAAGAUGCCACUUCGAUCAUCCUAGACAAUGUGCCUUUUGAGGAGCUGCUCAGCAGCUUUGGGGACUCUGGAUAAAGGCAAACCAGGCUUAUGAUUUUUUUUCUUUUGCCUUUGUUUCAAAGUAGUUUGCAGGUUUGAGAGUCCAUUUUCAUAGGCCUGUUUCAUGACAACAUACGCUCCUACCGCAUGAUGGGUUUAUUUUCACUCUCAGUUAUUUAUACGCAACCUCUAAGCAUCAAUCCACCUUGGACGAACAUACGCGUUUAUAAUUUUCAUAGAAAUAAAACAGCAAAAGAUAAUUCAAAGUCAAUAGGGUCUCAGGCUGGGCAAGGAAAUGUGGGCAGGCACCCGUGAAAAGGGUUCUUUCCUUCUGACAUGAUGAAGCAUUUUUCAAAAUCUUUUGCUUUAUUUCACUGUUUUUUGUCAAACUUGGCAUUUGUUUACCAGCAACAAUAAUGAAACUCUGACCGGGGAACAAGCCUGUUUGAGGACAAAAGCGUACACCGGACACUGCACUAGCACACCCCACCCAAAACAGCAAACAAAAAAAGCCCAGCGUGCUGGCACCAUUUUUCCUAUCUUCUUUCCUUUCUGUUUCAAUGUAAAGAACAUACUUAAGUGUGCCUGCCUCUAUGAGUGAUGCACAUCGUGCUUUCAUGGUGCCAGCUCCACACGCGUGCAAUCACAUGUCUGGUUCUAAACCUGUGUAAGCAGCGCUUUGUCACCUUUAACAUGCUUUGGAAGUCUACACAUUCAUGUUUCAUGUUGCGGUGCCUGCGUAUGUAUCUCAAAAAGAAGUCUAACAACCCCGAAAGCAUUCUUAAGGGGUUAAUUAUUACUUUUCAAUCAAAAGGAGCGCAUAAAACAACUAGAAGUCUACGACAGGCGUGUGUUCAAUCAUAUAUGAAUAUAUUGUACAUAAUAUUAAUAAACAACAUGCUAGUAUGAAAAAUUUCCCCUUAGGAAUGAGGAAUUACGAUUAAUGUUUUCCAUUCCAAAGUAGUAACAACACAAAUCUGAAAAUAUGUAUUAAGGAUGACGGGCCAAUAUCUCUGGUUAUAUAUGCAUCUAUCAAAUGCCAAAGCUAGAUUUCUGACUUUAAAUGAGGAAUGAGAAAGGGCACCAAACUAAAUUUUUAAAAAACAAAAAUUACCAUUCCAGAAGUGGGUGCUGAAUUAAUUUUAGUCAAUCACUUCUACAAUUUCUUAAAUGGAAUAAUCAGAAAUGGGGAAAUUAACAUUUUUCUAAAAAGUUUAUGUGCUACUUAUAAUAUUUUAUUGUACAGGUCUUCAGCGGGCUAGGUAAAUUCCUCUAGAAUAAAUAAAAAAAAGAAAGGAGAAAAAACUGAUUUUGAACUCAAAUGGUUUGUUGUUAAGUUGCAAGGGACUGCAGGAACUUUUUACUAAAAUCAAGAUUUCACAGAUUACUUCUUUAAAAUUACUACAACAAACUUAAGCUGCCCACAAAUGGAACUCAUACUGAAAUUGGGAUUUGGUUUUGGGGGAUUGUCAAUUACAAGUUGUUUGGCAUUUGACCACACUGGUCUUAUUUAUUGAGAGACUCCCAUUUUAUUUUUAAAAAAUCAAAUGUGACUUCACACAACACAGGUGACUAAUUUAUAUAUAAAACCAGUUUCAUUUUCCUGACUAUGUCCCAGUAUCCUAGCUUUUAGACCUGGUUAACUUCAAGGUUAAGGUCAGAUUUUUCAUAGGCACCCUUUCUACAGAAAUACAAGAAGUGUUUGAACUGAACUUAUCACUACAAGACAAUAUUUAGUUGCUGUCCAAAAAAUGCUAAAGAAGAAAACCGAUGCUUUUUUGUUUCUUGCUAUUUUAUAGGCAACUUUUGGUAUAAUUCCUAAUUUCAAAAGAACAUGAAGUUCAUUUUUUUAACUCCCCAAAAAAGUGGUACUGUAAGCAACCAGACAAGAAGGGACACUGACCUUGAAAAUGAAAGUCUACAUAAUAUUUACAUGAUAAACAUAUUUUUAAAAUCGAUUUCAAAGUAAUCAGAGACGUGGAUAGGUAUUUUCACUAUUUUCACUCCUUUUUCGCUUGGUUUUCAAUGAUGCACAGAGGCAGGGGUUUUUGAAUAUCAUCAAAGGUUUGUACCUUUGCUAAUAAUAUCUUAUCCGUCAGUUUUUCAAGUCUGCAUUCUAAAUAUACUGCAAGAUGCUGCCCGUUGACUUUCUGUCUGAGAGGAGGCAGCGGACUCAGAACCGCACGCUCCUUCCCUCACUCUCCCGACUUCUCCAAAACUGGAAGUCUCUCACACGUAGAAUGCCAGAAAUUUAUAGAAGGACUCCAAGGCUCCCUGAGAAACUUCUCGAGUUGGGAAAAACCUUGUCAACGCACACCUGGACCUACAGAUUCGGAAAAAGUAACCGGCUGUAGCCAAAAACCAAACACUCAACCACCCGAACACAGUCUGCAAGAAACACAGAGUUCUUUGACGUGACAAGAAGAAUUAUAAAUAAAAUAGCUCCAAGGCAGACAGGCUGAAUGAGCCUUUUAAGACAGCCUGUUGGUGCCUCAAACUUUAAUACUUAGAAUAUCAAAUGUUAGCUCCACGAGGAUAGCAUCCUGGGAUACGUGUGUGUGUGUACGCAUAUGUAUACGUGUGCAUAAGUGUGUAUAUGUAGGUUUGUGUGUAGCGAUAAAUGUUUUGUUGCCUUUAUGGCCUGGGGGCUGAUUGAGGGCCUGGUGGAACGCCCCUAGCCCAGAGGAAGGAGCAGGCCCUACCUGCGUUCUCCCUGGGUUACUCCCUACUUCAUUACACGUAGGCAAACACCAAAAGCCAGGGAAAGCAUAACUGCUGUAGAUAACAAGGGCAGAUCUCAGAUAGAGAAAAGCUUUCUCUGCAAUAAAGAAUUAUUUUGUGAAUGGUAA